Molecule: long non-coding RNA, 1345 nt
Organism: Lycium barbarum (goji berry)
Lineage: Eukaryota; Viridiplantae; Streptophyta; Magnoliopsida; Solanales; Solanaceae
Exons: 4
Source: RefSeq, a predicted model, not a curated record
CGAUGAAAAUAUUUCAUCUCCCCCCAAAACUUUCUCUUCUCUUUCAAAAAUAUUUACCCUCUCUAAACUCAUCUCCCCCGAAAUUCCCACCACCGGCAUUCAUCUCCCCCCAAAACUGUUUGAUGUUCCUAAAGUGAAACUAUGUGCGCCUAUUUCUGAGUAUGUUUUAGGUGGGUUUGUUGAUUAGCUUGCUAAGCAGUCCUUGUUACCAGCGGCGUUCUCCAGGUAGGCGACGCCGUCCAGUUAAACCACCGGAGCAGCCACCAGCCGCCGCCGACUGAACAGUGAGCUGGGUUGUCAAUUGCCGGAGUUAAGGAAGAUUUGCUAGAUACAAGAAAGUAGCAGCAGAGAAAUCUAUGUGGGUCAGUUUGCUUGUGAUUUGAAACUUGAUGGAUAUUAGAUCUCUUCUACUCUUUUUUAACCGACAGUAUAGUUCGAGCGCACUUGGAGGGCCUGUUUUGAAAUUUUCCAAGCAUAUAUGUUUGUUUCUCUUCUAAAUUAUAUCUUCUUCUUUGGUUUUCUUUUCAAGUGUUAGUUUCUCUUUUAUUUAAAAAGAAAAAAUAAUUAAAUGUCAAUUAGGCAGGACUAAUGUAAAACAACAUACCCAUUAUAAUUUUACAAGUGGGGUUUGAGGAGGGUAUUGUGUAUACAGACCUUAUCACAAGUUGAUUGGAAGUUAUAAUAAAAAUUGAUAGACAAAGAAAUCUAGUAGUCUGAUAAUGUCUUUCACUAGAUCCAUAUCUGGUUAAGUACUUAUUUGGUUAUUGGUGGUAAACUGUAAAAUAUAUGUGUGAAAUAUCACAUUAUAUUACUUGAUCUAUUUUGCUAAGUUGCGUGCUUCUUUGAGAUGAGAUAAAUUAGUAUAGAAAAUGGGUCUUUAUUAUACUGACAUCUUUCCUCUUUGUCAUUCAAUAUCAGAUCUAGGAAAGAAAAAGAAAACACUUCUAAAGAUAGGUUAUUGUCUCCCUCAGAGAAUAUAAUAAUGAUUAACUGUUAUUAUUAGUAGUUAAUUCUUUUUUAACCACUUGUGUCAUCUAGAUAGUUGUUAAAUAUAAUAUAAAGUAUGUUAUGUCACUACUAAAAAAAUAGUGAAAAUCGACCAACAAUUUCGACCGCACGAGGUCACAUAACUAGAAAGAUUAAAUUUCACAUAUUUGUAUCACUUUGGAAACUUAAAUAUCCAAAAGUUUUACCUUUUAAAUAAUACUUAUUGAACUAACUAGAUUACACUACAACAGAAAAAUAGGAUCUUGAUCCUUAUAUGGGUUUUAAUAUAACGGUUAAACAGACUAAUGAUUUUUUAUUUUCAUUUCAUUUUUACUUGUGGCUCGUUUGGCUAUGAAAU